GGUGAACGCUGGCGGCGUGCCUAAUACAUGCCAGUCGAGCGAACGGACGAGAAGCUUGCUUCUCUGAUGUUAGCGGCGGACGGGUGAGUAACACGUGGAUAACCUACCUAUAAGACUGGGAUAACUUCGGGAAACCGGAGCUAAUACCGGAUAAUAUUUUGAACCGCAUGGUUCAAAAGUGAAAGACGGUCUUGCUGUCACUUAUAGAUGGAUCCGCGCUGCAUUAGCUAGUUGGUAAGGUAACGGCUUACCAAGGCAACGAUGCAUAGCCGACCUGAGAGGGUGAUCGGCCACACUGGAACUGAGACACGGUCCAGACUCCUACGGGAGGCAGCAGUAGGGAAUCUUCCGCAAUGGGCGAAAGCCUGACGGAGCAACGCCGCGUGAGUGAUGAAGGUCUUCGGAUCGUAAAACUCUGUUAUUAGGGAAGAACAUAUGUGUAAGUAACUGUGCACAUCUUGACGGUACCUAAUCAGAAAGCCACGGCUAACUACGUG
Molecule: ribosomal RNA, 497 nt
Filed under: uncultured bacterium
Lineage: Bacteria
Description: partial 16S ribosomal RNA
Rfam family: Bacterial small subunit ribosomal RNA
Source: RNAcentral